This 341-nucleotide unclassified non-coding RNA is filed under the name soil metagenome. RNAcentral's name for it is "partial contains 5.8S ribosomal RNA, internal transcribed spacer 2, and large subunit ribosomal RNA". The stretch from base 1 to 120 matches the Rfam family "5.8S ribosomal RNA", at positions 35 to 154 of the family's 154-position model. The record is from RNAcentral.
GAUGAAGAACGCAGCGAAAUGCGAUAAGUAGUGUGAAUUGCAGAAUUCAGUGAAUCAUUGAAUCUUUGAACGCACAUUGCGCCCUUUGGUAUUCCAAAGGGCAUGCCUGUUCGAGCGUCAUUUGUACCCUCAAGCUUUGCUUGGUGUUGGGCGUCUUGUCUCUAGCUUUGCUGGAGACUCGCCUUAAAGUAAUUGGCAGCCGGCCUACUGGUUUCGGAGCGCAGCACAAGUCGCACUCUCUAUCAGCAAAGGUCUAGCAUCCAUUAAGCCUUUUUUUCAACUUUUGACCUCGGAUCAGGUAGGGAUACCCGCUGAACUUAAGCAUAUCAAUAAGCGGAGGA